AAUAUAACGCAUGCUAGUGCCAAAUUAAAUAAACAUUAUUUGGCGCGCCUUGGUGAGUACGGUCUAGUCUCUGCCUAUUUGAAAAAGAUAGAUGAGUCGGGCUUAACAAUAAACGCCUGUUACGGGUAGUUUGUUUAAAUUGAUUUUUGUGAAGCAUCAGUCACUUGCGGGUUCGAGUGUCCCUUAUAACAGCAGCGGGGAAUAUUUAACAAUGUACUUUAGUAUGAUUUAGUUAUAGUAGCUUACUGGGGGAAUAGUAUUCGCCUAUUUUUUACAAUAAACAUAAUGAGGGUCUGUAAAACAGUUAUGGCCAAUACAUGUGCCAGCAGCCGCGGUAAUACAUGAGUAAUAAGCGUUAUCCUUAUUAGUCGGGUGUAAAACGUGUUUUGGUAAGUCAUGACAAAUGAUUUUCUUGACGAUAAAUUAAUUUUAUGGUAGUUUUAAUGGGUUUUUAGAUUAGUGAUCAAAUACU
This 472-nucleotide ribosomal RNA is filed under the name uncultured bacterium. RNAcentral describes it as "partial 16S ribosomal RNA". The stretch from base 1 to 361 matches the Rfam family "Bacterial small subunit ribosomal RNA", at positions 45 to 546 of the family's 1533-position model. The record is from RNAcentral.